GAGUGCGAAACGACAUCGUUUGACUCAGUGCCCACAUGAUUUCAGGAUGCAAUGGCCGGGACCCAAAAGCAGGAAGUUUAAGGACGAUUCCCGCAUUCCGACUCCUGCCAUCCCAGUAAUGGACACUUCCAGGCUACUAAAUUUACGUUCGCUUCACCCAUGUUUUCACUAUAAAGAUCGAUCAGAUCUGCCAUUGUUAUGUAAGGCACCUCACACUCCCAAUGCUAAUUUCUACUGCCCUGAAAUGCUUUCAGUUUCUUUCAUUUCUCAGAACUGUUCUACUUUGACACAAUAUGUUGGAAACCCGUCUAGAAAAUCGGUGAUUCGAGAUGGGUGUUUGGGCAAUAAUCCUGAAACCAAUGUUUCAUCGAUUUGCAAGAUGAUUACAGAAUCCACAGAUUGCGGAUUAUUUGAAGGUGUUGUAGUGGCUUAUAUUGAUAUGCUUGAAUAUGCUUUCCCGGUCGAGGAAUUCCGAUGCUUUUCUCGUUUAAUUAAGGCAUUUGGUGGGCUUUCUGAUGUCAAUAAGAGCAGGUAGAUUCAUGGACAUGUCUUGAAAUUAGGUUUUUUAAAUGAUAUUUACAUUAUGAAUGCGCUUUUAAGUAUCUGCCGGAAAUGCGGGGCUGUUGCUGAUGCCGUUAAGGUGUUUGAGAAAAUGCGUGAGAGAGAUAUAGUGUCGUGGAAUGCCAUGAUAUCUGGGUUUUCCCAAUCAAGAGUAUUAUAUUGCAUCGUUGACGAUCUUUAGCAGGAUGAUCGAGGAACAUGGUGUGUAUCCCAAUCGCGUUUCAUGCUUGUCAGCGCUCUCUUCCUGUUCUUCCAUUGAGUCAUUGAUUCACGGGAAAGAAAUUCAUACAUUUCUCUUGAAAAGUGGGUUGGACUUUGAUGAGUUUUCAGUUAGCCAAUUGAUUGAAAUGUGCAUGGGUUGUGGAGAUACUAGAAGUGCUGAGCUUAUUUUUAAGAGCGACCUUGACAGGGAAUUGACCAGGGGAAACAUAGUAAUAUGGAACGUGAUGAUUGCGGGCUAUAUAUCUAAUGAGUCUUUUCAAUCAGCAUUCAAAUUGUUAAUCGAGCUGUUGGAAUUAGGGAUAAGUCCAGAUUCUUCAACGCUUGUGUUUGCUUUAGUUCUCUGCUCACAAUUAGCAGAUUUAACUUUUGGAAUGCAAAUCCAUAAACUUGUUUUAGCACUUGGGAUUGGAAAUGAUGUAAGAGUUAAAACUGCCGUCAUGGAGAUGUACUUUAAAUUUGGUGAUCCUGAAACUGGUUUUAACAUCUUCGGAAGGUCUGUAAAUCAUAACUUGGUCAUGUGGGGUGCAGUACUAUCCAAUUGUACUCAGAACGGUUACCCUGCUAGGAAACUAGAAUUGUUCCGUAGAUUUAUGUUAGAAAAGGGUUCCCCAGAUUCUGUUAUCCUUUUAGCUGUAUUGCAGGCAUGUUCAUUCUUGAGUCUUCUGACUAGAGGUAAGGAAAUCCAUGGAUUAGAAGUGAAAAUGAAACUCAAAUCUGAUACUUUUGUUGGCAGUGCCUUAGUUGAUAUGUAUGCUAAAUGUGAAGAUAUGAAAUCGACUAAGAAAGUUUUUUCUCGGUUGUCAUCAUGGGAUUUGAUCUCAUGGAAUGCUGUAAUAUCUGGAUUUUUACAUUACAGCUCUCGUGAUGAAGCUUUAAAAGCAUUUCAUGAUAUGCAAUCUGAACAAAUUAGACCAAAUAACAUAACAGCUUCUUGUGUUAUCUCUGUUUGUGCCCAGAUGUCAGCCAUGAAACUAUGCAAGGAGCUUCAUUGUUACUUAUUCCGGCAAGGAUUAGAGACCAAUGUUCUAGUAAGCAAUUCUCUGAUAGGUGCCUAUGCCAAAUGCGGUGACAUAAUAAGCUCAUUGAGAAUAUUUGAGAAAAGCCCUGAAAGAAAUGCACUAUCAUGGAAUUCAAUCAUAUUGGGGUUUGGGAUACACGGUCUCACAGAAGAUAUGUUUGUUUCAUUUGAAAAUAUGAAAGACGCAGGCGUGAAACCUGACAGUGUAACUUUUACAGCUCUGCUGUCUGCAUGUAGUCACACUGGAAAAGUGGACAUGGGGCUGGAAAUUAUUUGAAGAUAUGGUUCAAAAAUACAAACUUGAGCUUGAACUGAAGCAAUACACAUGUAUGGUUGACCUUCUAAGCCGAGCUGGCCAUUUAAAUGAAGCUUAUAAUCUGAUCAUGGCCGUGCCUUUUGUCCCUGAUGAUCACAUGCGGGGUUCAUUGCUUGGAUCAUGUAGAACUUACAGAAAUCAGAAGAUGGCAGAACUUGUGGCUAGUCGGAUAUUCCAACUUGAUUCUACUAGCACCGGUUAUCAUCUCCUUCUUGCUAAUUUAUACGAAGAUUUUGGAAAAUUGAAUCGAAGUGUUAGAAUUAUGUCUGAAAUAAAAAAUUUGGGACUUGAAAAGCAGGUGGGUUGCAGUUGGGUUGAAGUUAAUAAUAAUUUUUCAUAUAUUUGUCGCUAGUGAUAAUUCAGACUCGCAGUCACAGGAGAUAAAUGCCAUGACAGAAACUUUAACCCUAGAGCUUAAAAAUGAAGGGUAUCGUGUGGUAUACGGUCUCGCAAGACGGCCGCAGCAAGCCCAAUUCCCUCUCAAUUCUAUCAGCUCUGAUUCAUACCCACUAUCUCCCGUCUGUCUCUGCUUUUUCGCUCAGCAACAGCAGCGUGGGAGUCGUUGCUCACAAACUGCUCACAUACUCUUAUCUUUGGUUCAUUGGUUCUUUCACAGCGCCGCUGCCUCGCCCUCGGAUCCUCCGGCUUUCUCUGUGACGUCGUCAUCUUCUGUUAUGCCAUGAUUCUGUAGCAUUCGCAAAAAUCAGUAGGAUACACUCAUUUCUUUGCAAACGCAACUCCUUCAUUGAUGGUGGAGCAUUGGAUCUCAUUCUACCUGUCUACUUGAUAUUCAUCCCUGAGCUUUUACACAGAAGGGUACCAUUUUCUUUCA
Non-coding RNA from Carica papaya (papaya), 2949 nucleotides. The record is from RefSeq and is a predicted model, not a curated record. Lineage: Eukaryota; Viridiplantae; Streptophyta; Magnoliopsida; Brassicales; Caricaceae.